UACGAAGGGGGCUAGCGUUGCUCGGAAUCACUGGGCGUAAAGUGUGCGCAGGCGGCCGAGCAAGUCGAGUGUGAAAGCCCCGGGCUUAACUUGGGAAUUGCGCUCGAAACUACUUGGCUGGAGUGCGGCAGAGGGGGGUGGAAUUCCACGUGUAGCAGUGAAAUGCGUAGAGAUGUGGAGGAACACCGAUGGCGAAGGCAGCCCCCUGGGCCGACACUGACGCUCAGGCACGAAAGCGUGGGGAGCAAACAGG
RNAcentral lists this ribosomal RNA (253 nucleotides) under uncultured bacterium. RNAcentral's name for it is "partial 16S ribosomal RNA". It matches the Rfam family "Bacterial small subunit ribosomal RNA", at positions 524 to 776 of the family's 1533-position model. The record is from RNAcentral.